AUGAGUUUAUCGAGCAAUCAAUCCCCAAUUCAAUCAAAAUAUUGUUUUCUCUCUCUCCAUAAACAAAUAGUAUUUUUGAUAUGAU
RNAcentral lists this unclassified non-coding RNA (85 nucleotides) under Streptococcus pyogenes str. Manfredo. Lineage: Bacteria; Bacillati; Bacillota; Bacilli; Lactobacillales; Streptococcaceae. The record is from RNAcentral.